RNAcentral lists this ribosomal RNA (497 nucleotides) under uncultured bacterium. Its description in RNAcentral is "partial 16S ribosomal RNA". It matches the Rfam family "Bacterial small subunit ribosomal RNA", at positions 28 to 507 of the family's 1533-position model. The record is from RNAcentral.
GAUGAACGCUGGCGGCGUGCCUAAUACAUGCAAGUCGAGCGAACAGACGAGGAGCUUGCUCCUUUGACGUUAGCGGCGGACGGGUGAGUAACACGUAGGUAACCUACCUAUAAGACUGGGAUAACUUCGGGAAACCGGAGCUAAUACCGGAUAAUAUUUCGAACCGCAUGGUUCGAUAGUGAAAGAUGGCUUUGCUAUCACUUAUAGAUGGACCUGCGCCGUAUUAGCUAGUUGGUAAGGUAACGGCUUACCAAGGCAACGAUACGUAGCCGACCUGAGAGGGUGAUCGGCCACACUGGAACUGAGACACGGUCCAGACUCCUACGGGAGGCAGCAGUAGGGAAUCUUCCGCAAUGGGCGAAAGCCUGACGGAGCAACGCUGCGUGAGUGAUGAAGGCCUUCGGAUCGUAAAACUCUGUUAUUAGGGAAGAACAAACGUGUAAGUAACUGUGCACGUCUUGACGGUACCUAAUCAGAAAGCCACGGCUAACUACGUG